GUGGGUAUAGCUCAGUGGUAGAGCGCAUGCUUAGCAAGCAGGAGGUGCUGGGCUCAAUCCCUAGUACCCCCA
Molecule: transfer RNA, 72 nt
Filed under: Camelus bactrianus (Bactrian camel)
Lineage: Eukaryota; Metazoa; Chordata; Mammalia; Artiodactyla; Camelidae
Also listed under: 1 other name
Rfam family: tRNA
About the family: Transfer RNA (tRNA) molecules are approximately 80 nucleotides in length. Their secondary structure includes four short double-helical elements and three loops (D, anti-codon, and T loops).
Source: Rfam by way of RNAcentral